This 251-nucleotide long non-coding RNA is filed under the name Solanum tuberosum (potato). RNAcentral describes it as "long non-coding RNA (STUB_LNC002973)". Lineage: Eukaryota; Viridiplantae; Streptophyta; Magnoliopsida; Solanales; Solanaceae. The record is from RNAcentral.
AUAAAACCAAUUCAUCUCCAAAUCACGGAAAAAAAGUUCCAAACUAGUCACUUGACUACAAUUCGAAGGACUAAUUUUGACUCAAAUCAAAAGAAUGACAAAUGGAGCAACUCUAAGAGUUUUUAAAAGAAACUAAAUAAACAUAACAAAUCAAUAGUUCUCUUGCCACGCGAAGCAAUGCGGGGCUCACCAGAUGCUACCAACUCACACGCUAGUUAAUGAAAUCCUCUUCAAUACCACUUGAAUUCUCU